RNAcentral lists this RNase P RNA (400 nucleotides) under Nitrospirota bacterium. RNAcentral describes it as "RNase P RNA component class A". It matches the Rfam family "Bacterial RNase P class A". Rfam says of the family: Ribonuclease P (RNase P) is a ubiquitous endoribonuclease, found in archaea, bacteria and eukarya as well as chloroplasts and mitochondria. Its best characterised activity is the generation of mature 5'-ends of tRNAs by cleaving the 5'-leader elements of precursor-tRNAs. Lineage: Bacteria; Pseudomonadati; Nitrospirota. The record is from RNAcentral.
CAAGCCGGAUGGAUGACCGCCUGCCGCACCUGCGGCGGGAGGAAAGUCCGGGCUCCGGAGAACAGGGUGCUGGGUAACGCCCAGGCGGGGAAACCCGACGGAAAGUGCCACAGAGAACAGACCGCCAACGGCCGCCCCGCUUUCUUUGGACGGCGGGCGGUGCGGGCAAGGGUGAAACGGUGGGGUAAGAGCCCACCGCUCCGCUGGCGACAGCGGGGGCACGGCAAACCCCACCCGGAGCAAGACCAAAUAGGGAGGCGCUUGAGGGCGGUUCGUCCGAUGCCUCCGGGUUGGUCGCUCGAGGGCGGGAGCAAUCCCGCUCCCAGAUAGAUGGUCAUCGCCUCGCGUGCCGGUAACGGCUGCGGGGACACAGAACCCGGCUUACAGCCCGGCUUGGGCC